UGGGCCUUCCCCUGCCUCCGUGUUGUCCGUUGAUGUAUGGAGGAGUUUGAAUAACUCUGCUUUCCUUGCUGUAGCAGGGUAGGGGAUUUGUCACCUCCUUAGGUCGGUGGUAAUGUGUGGGAUCGUCCAGGAUCUGAUUGCUGCAGGACUAGCCACAUCUCUUCUGCUUGAAGGUGUAUCAAUUCUAGCCGGGGUGCUAGGAAGAGGUGAUUCUUCACCAUCUUUUGGAAAAAUACUUAAAUAACAAUAAAGAUGCAAUUAUUUGUACCCAGGGUUCUUGUAC
Molecule: non-coding RNA, 283 nt
Organism: Pelobates cultripes (western spadefoot toad)
Lineage: Eukaryota; Metazoa; Chordata; Amphibia; Anura; Pelobatidae
Source: the annotation of a GenBank genome assembly